Molecule: small RNA, 759 nt
Filed under: Pan troglodytes (chimpanzee)
Lineage: Eukaryota; Metazoa; Chordata; Mammalia; Primates; Hominidae
Description: retained intron
Source: RNAcentral
UGAGCAAAUGAAGUUCUGUUCCUGGUGGUGUGGCAAUCUGGAGCCUGGAUCGAUGUAAGAGCAAGUAGCUGUCCAGUACUCAUAAGGUACAGACUUCCCCAUCAGCUGUCUGAGGCACUUUGUCCUCAGUCUACAAAUGGGGAAACUGAGAUGCAGAGAGGCUGAGGGCCCAACCCCACACAGGUAACCGGAUGGUGGAGCCAGAUUCGAAUCUGCGUGUUUAGUUGACUUCGCGUUAUACUGUGAAGUGCUGCGGGGCACUUCCCUGCUCCGCUUGCCUUGUGUGCCUUUGCCCCCAGGCAGGGUCCCAGGACGUUCUGUCUGAUGCAUCCUUUGUCCCCAGAAAGCCAUCUCUGUCCUGGAGAUGGAGAAUGGCUAUUGGUGGUGCAGGAAGAAGCAGCGGGCAGGCGUGAUGCUGACCGUUGGCACUAAGCCAGAUGGCAGCCCCGAUGAGCGCUGGUGCUUCAGGGUGGAGGAGGUGAACUGGGCUUCAUGGGAGCAGACGCUGCCUACGCUGUGUGAGGACCCGUCAGGGGCAGGUGUCCCUCGAACUCUCGAGAACCCUGUCCUGGCUUCCCCUCCCAAGGAGGAUGAGGAUGGUGCCUCUGAGGAAAACUAUGUGCCCGUCCAGCUCCUCCAGUCCAGCUGAUGGCCCAGAUGCAGCAGGAGGCCAGAGGACAGAGCAGAGGAUCUUUCCAACCACAUCUGCUGGCUCUGGGGUCCCAGUGAAUUCUGGUGGCAAAUAUAUAUUUUCACUAA